UCAAUUCUUAAGAAGAACCAGAAACGUUUCCUCUCAAUUUCAAGGAAACCAAACUUUAUUAUUUCGUUCCAGAAUUUUAGGAACCAGAAAGUAUUUUAGUCCAUGAAUUUCUAAGGGGCAAAGGAAAAUUUCGUUCAAUCAACGAAGGUAUGCCAACGAAAUAUUAUACGUAAUUUUUCCUACUCCAGGUAUGUUAAGGCCCUUCCUUCUUUCUUUUGGCAUGGUCCAAAUUAUACUGAAGAAACGAGCAAGCACACAAUUUUCAUAUAUUACUCCAUUCAUAGAAAUAGUAAGGAUGUCUAUAUUCUUGAUUCCUCAUGAAAAAUAUUAUUAUCUUCUGUUCACAGGGUCUCAGAAAAAUAAGUAUUUGAUAAAGUUUAUUCAAAAAAGCAUUUCUUCUGUAUGUGUAUGUAAAGUUUAUUGGAUAAAGUUCCUUUUAAUCACUUAUUAAGAUGUCAACAAUGGAAAUAAGCUCCUUGAUCAGUGUAUUAGCGCUUUCUAUAUUUGUAUAAGAACUUGUGUAACAUUCUUUGGAAAAUGUUUGCUUAUUCGUUGUAAUGUACUAUUAGUCUGCCAUGGUCAUACAUAGCUCCUCGUUUUAUAUGUUGAGUUAAUAUGUAGAAUAAGAAUACAUCUACAUUAGCUAUAUGAUGGUAUAAAGUACCUAAAGACAAAAAUGACCUUUAAAAUAAGUAAUUGGUAUAUUUCAUAAUUUCAUGCAUUUAUACAUGUACAUUGACCCAUGAUCAGACGGCGUUAUAUAUGCGUAUAUAUAUGAAUAUGGAAUAUGGGAAAAGGUUACGACAUUAUAUACGCACCAUCAUCUGAUCAGCUGGUAUACGUUGAUGAUUUGCCACAAUGGCCGAGAUGAUAUGAUGGGAUGUCCUUAGAAGCGUGAUGACGUUAUGGCAUUAUAUAUGUAUAUAUAUAUAUAUAUAUAUAUAUAUAUACAUAUGUAUAAAUAUGUAUAUAUAUGUAUAUAGGAUAUGAGAAAGGUUAUGGCGUUAUAUACGCACCACCACCUGCUGGUAUAUGUUCAUGAUAUUGCCCAUAAUGGCCGAGAUGAUGUGUCUUGAUGAUAUUAUGUACACCCAUACCUAUGCAUGUCACGAAAUUUAUACGCACGUGCAUGACAUUAUAAAAGUUUCAGAAUUUACAAAGUUAUUCAGAUUUAAAGAUGUGUUUCCUUAUUCCAUGUUUCAUCUAUGUGUUUUAUGUACUAAUUUUCAUGUCUUACAUACUUAGUACAUUUUUCGUACAGAUGUCCUAUUUCACGGGGCCUGCAUUUCAUGCCCGCAGGUGCAGGUAGGCAAGCUGAGUGUACCUCUUCUUAGGAUCCCUGAUCAUUGAGAGUUGGCGUACUUCAUUUGAUCCGGAGCUGCUUUUGAUUUUGGUACGAUACGUUUGUGUGUGUAUAUAUAUAUAUAUAUGGCUAUGAUGUGGCUCAGUCCCAUCUUUGUACAGUUAUGUUUCUAUUAGAGGUAUGUGGACAAUAUGUCUAGUUGGG
RNAcentral lists this long non-coding RNA (1507 nucleotides) under Nicotiana tabacum (common tobacco). RNAcentral describes it as "long non-coding RNA (NTAB_LNC013071)". The record is from RNAcentral. Lineage: Eukaryota; Viridiplantae; Streptophyta; Magnoliopsida; Solanales; Solanaceae.